Thalassophryne amazonica is the source of this 857-nucleotide long non-coding RNA. RefSeq lists it as uncharacterized. The record is from RefSeq and is a predicted model, not a curated record. The transcript has 3 exons. Lineage: Eukaryota; Metazoa; Chordata; Actinopteri; Batrachoidiformes; Batrachoididae.
CCCCCUCUUUCUCUUCCCAAGGGACCAAGGAGGGGAGCAAACUAUAGACACAACAUGCGUUUCCAGCACAGGAAUAAUGUUGGCCACAGCCACACUGGACCAAUGGCACGAGGCAACAACCGCAACAGUGCUACAGGUAUCAACUGGUGAUUUGACAUUGGAAAGGUAAUCAAUCAAAGGAGAUAAGUCUGCUGAUUUGUUGAUCACAACCAGUUAGCAAAAACCAUAUCUUGAGUCAUCUGUAUAAAAAGUAAACUGUGAUGUUUCUGUUCUUAUCUGUUUUAGGGAAUUGUCAUAAAAUUGAGUUGGACAUGAAACCUUUGUUUGUUUUCUUGUACCAUAGUACUCUCAAAUUCCUAAUUUCUCACAUUCUCUCUUCAUAGCUAUCUUUAAAAAAAAUCUUCUUUGGAGGGUCUUCCCCCCAUCCCCCCAGGACAUCGUUUGUUGAAAGUAGAUUUUAUUCGAUGUUAAUACUUAACCAGCUCACAGCGGGUGAUUAAAAACCCUCUGCUGUAACAAGCUCUGUUUCCUGUCUGAUAGUGAGACUGUAAACUACUGUUUAAUGUUCGCCCAUUAGUUUUUCUCGCGCAGUUUCAUGAACGCACCUGCUAAUCAGUGACCGUUUGCUAAUGACAUGUUAAACCCUUAGUGGAAACCAUCAAUGUUAUGAUUCCUGCUUGUUUUCUUCAUGUUUAAACAUUUUAUUUUGUAUAGUUCUUGGUGUUAUAAUCGGCCUGUUAGUGGUACAUGAUUCGACAUGACACAGUGGUCUCUGAAUAAAGCGUGUCUGUGUAAUUUUGAUUGUGUUAUUACUGAGUACAGUCACAGCCACAUAAAAUAAAAAAUAAAAGAAUGUC